GGGAGGUUGGCGACCAGCUUCUUGUUCUUGGCAGGCUUCGGCAUUAGGUCUGAAUAUAUGCGCAAAUUGUGCGCAUGUCAACUCAUCCCUCCUGUAUCACUCGACUCGAAAUCGAACGUGGGGUUAAACCCACCGUGGGUUCGAAUCCCACCCCUUCCGCCA
This 162-nucleotide transfer RNA is filed under the name Chthoniobacterales bacterium. RNAcentral's name for it is "tRNA-Ser". The record is from RNAcentral. Lineage: Bacteria; Pseudomonadati; Verrucomicrobiota; Spartobacteria; Chthoniobacterales.